CAAGUUUGAUGUUGCUUUGUUAGUUCCCUUACUAGCCCCAGUUUUGUCAUUGCAACAUAUCCUUUUCCUCAUAUCUAGGCCUUUUAAAGAUAAUUUUGCCACAUUGAAAGAGAUAGGAUUUGCUGUCAAUACUCUCAAAAGAGCCGAACUGCAAAAUAUUUUAAGCAACAAUGGAAUUGGAAUUGGUAAUUUGAACGAGCUGCGUGAAUUUUGGGACAAAUUACAGAUCAGAGCUUUGAUUCAAGGCUUCAAACCUUCUUUGAUAU
Long non-coding RNA from Arachis duranensis, 266 nucleotides. RefSeq lists it as uncharacterized. The transcript is spliced from 3 exons. The record is from RefSeq and is a predicted model, not a curated record. Lineage: Eukaryota; Viridiplantae; Streptophyta; Magnoliopsida; Fabales; Fabaceae.